UGCAGCGGCGACUGGGGCCGA
RNAcentral lists this microRNA (21 nucleotides) under Chlamydomonas reinhardtii. RNAcentral describes it as "cre-miR1150.3". The record is from miRBase by way of RNAcentral. Lineage: Eukaryota; Viridiplantae; Chlorophyta; Chlorophyceae; Chlamydomonadales; Chlamydomonadaceae.